This 392-nucleotide long non-coding RNA is filed under the name Sarcophilus harrisii (Tasmanian devil). RNAcentral describes it as "lncRNA (ENSSHAG00000028904.1)". Lineage: Eukaryota; Metazoa; Chordata; Mammalia; Dasyuromorphia; Dasyuridae. The record is from RNAcentral.
GCACACUGCACAAAUGCUAAUUAUAAGCAUCCUGUUAUUAAUAUGUAAAUACCUCUUUACUAUAUUUCUGGAACACCAGCAGUCGCAGUUGCCAUACUGUAUCUCAAACAAGGAUUGCUUCUCAGAAUGAUGGCUGAAUUCACUGAACUAAAACACCAUUGCUAUUCCCAAGACUUUAGGGUUAAGAAUCUUGGACAGUCCCCAUCAGUAUCUGAAGAGACAUAAAGAAUAUGACCUUUGGCUGAGAAGGAACAGAACAAAAAGAGGGAAUUGUUACCUAAUAUGAAUAAGAAGAUAGAAUAGAGCAACUAGCUGUGCCUGGUGAUUUUAAGCCACCUGACUCAGAUGAACUACAUCCUUAGAUACUGAAAGAACUAGAAGAUAAGAAUUAC